RNAcentral lists this long non-coding RNA (679 nucleotides) under Homo sapiens (human). RNAcentral describes it as "non-protein coding lnc-PZP-11:1". Lineage: Eukaryota; Metazoa; Chordata; Mammalia; Primates; Hominidae. The record is from RNAcentral.
AUUGGGUGCUGGAGAUCCAUAAUACAGUGGAUCCUUAACUGACUGGAAGCAUCACUUUCAGAGCAUCAUUUCAGGAUGAGUGUUUGAGUGCCAAGUGAAUUCAAGCUACAGGGCUAAGGAUCCAUGGCCUCAGUCACCAUGAAGACCCUCCCAAGAGCCAGUCCUACGAGGCACAUAGAAACGAGUGGAGACAGAACUCACUCCUGCAAAGCCUAGAACCUGAUAGAGCACACGAGACAGGAGCCCAAAUAACCAAGAACCGGGAGCUGAAUGUGAGAGGUGGGCUCCAAAGGAUUCGGCCACCAAGGUGGAGAAGGAAAUAUACAUUUUCUAGAGCCCAAUCUGCCAGGAGAGAUCUAAGAGAUUACAAAGGAAAAAACUUGAAAUUCUGAGGACAGAGAAAAGAAAAAGGAAGAGUUAAUGACUAGUGAGACACCAUCAUGUAGACUGGUGCCACAUGGAAUCUGGGGCAACAGAACAUGAUCUAUCCAGAUGGACAUACAGGGAAAGCUGGUGCUGGGAAGCACCUUAAGCUACAUGAUUGCAAUAAAUUUUGCUCACCAGUGAUUGUGGGGGCUGAAGUAUAUUUCUCUUUGUUUCCAGUGUUGCCCAAGUUUGAAGUUAAAGUCAAUGCACCAUGAACAGUAACUAUUUCAGAUGAUGGAUUCCAAGUGGAUGC